RNAcentral lists this ribosomal RNA (81 nucleotides) under Symbiochloris symbiontica. RNAcentral's name for it is "partial 26S ribosomal RNA". It matches the Rfam family "Eukaryotic large subunit ribosomal RNA", at positions 1 to 80 of the family's 3401-position model. The record is from RNAcentral. Lineage: Eukaryota; Viridiplantae; Chlorophyta; Trebouxiophyceae; Trebouxiales; Trebouxiaceae.
UCGACCUGAGUUCAGGCAAGAGCACCCGCUGAACUUAAGCAUAUCAAUAAGCGGAGGAAAAGAAACUAACCAGGAUUCCCC